RNAcentral lists this ribosomal RNA (1100 nucleotides) under Frigoribacterium sp. IK2_84P. Its description in RNAcentral is "bacterial SSU rRNA". It matches the Rfam family "Bacterial small subunit ribosomal RNA", at positions 28 to 1142 of the family's 1533-position model. Lineage: Bacteria; Bacillati; Actinomycetota; Actinomycetes; Micrococcales; Microbacteriaceae. The record is from RNAcentral.
GACGAACGCUGGCGGCGUGCUUAACACAUGCAAGUCGAACGAUGAACUGGAGCUUGCUCCAGGGAUUAGUGGCGAACGGGUGAGUAACACGUGAGUAACCUGCCCUUGACUCUGGGAUAAGCGCUAGAAAUGGCGUCUAAUACCGGAUACGAGCUUCAGCCGCAUGGCUAGGAGUUGGAAAGAAUUUUGGUCAAGGAUGGACUCGCGGCCUAUCAGCUAGUUGGUGAGGUAAUGGCUCACCAAGGCGACGACGGGUAGCCGGCCUGAGAGGGUGACCGGCCACACUGGGACUGAGACACGGCCCAGACUCCUACGGGAGGCAGCAGUGGGGAAUAUUGCACAAUGGGCGAAAGCCUGAUGCAGCAACGCCGCGUGAGGGAUGACGGCCUUCGGGUUGUAAACCUCUUUUAGUAGGGAAGAAGCGAAAGUGACGGUACCUGCAGAAAAAGCACCGGCUAACUACGUGCCAGCAGCCGCGGUAAUACGUANGGUGCAAGCGUUGUCCGGAAUUAUUGGGCGUAAAGAGCUCGUAGGCGGUUUGUCGCGUCUGCUGUGAAAUCUGGGGGCUCAACCCCCAGCCUGCAGUGGGUACGGGCAGACUAGAGUGCGGUAGGGGAGAUUGGAAUUCCUGGUGUAGCGGUGGAAUGCGCAGAUAUCAGGAGGAACACCGAUGGCGAAGGCAGAUCUCUGGGCCGUAACUGACGCUGAGGAGCGAAAGCAUGGGGAGCGAACAGGAUUAGAUACCCUGGUAGUCCAUGCCGUAAACGUUGGGAACUAGAUGUGGGGGCCAUUCCACGGUCUCCGUGUCGCAGCUAACGCAUUAAGUUCCCCGCCUGGGGAGUACGGCCGCAAGGCUAAAACUCAAAGGAAUUGACGGGGGCCCGCACAAGCGGCGGAGCAUGCGGAUUAAUUCGAUGCAACGCGAAGAACCUUACCAAGGCUUGACAUAUACCGGAAACGUCCAGAGAUGGUCGCCCCGCAAGGUCGGUAUACAGGUGGUGCAUGGUUGUCGUCAGCUCGUGUCGUGAGAUGUUGGGUUAAGUCCCGCAACGAGCGCAACCCUCGUUCUAUGUUGCCAGCACGUUAUGGUGGGAACUCAU